CUGAUUUCUCAUUGGAAAUUCGUGUAUUCCUCUAAAUGGACAAGGUUCAAGUCUGAUUGCUGUGGUGCUAUUUAAACACAGGUUUAAAUGCUUUGCUAAAUCAGAGUUUAUGUUGGUACCUUUUUUGGGAGUUGCACCAGUCAGGGAACCAACUUCUCUGAUCACUUUGAAUGCAGACACAUGACUGUUAGCUCUGCUGGGGUGAUAAGCACGUUAACCACUUGGGUGGAUGUUUACUUAAAACCAUCUGCUGAGCUAAUCUGUGUAACUAUCUGAAACUUCCUGAGGUCAGUCUUUUAAACAAGGAGAUUGGACAGAUGGUCAGCUUUACAAUGUGGGUGGAGCACCAUAGGUUUGAGGAAGCAGAUGUCAUUCCAAUAGAAGCUUGAAUUACCCACUUUCCUUGCAGUUGUUGGAUUGAUAAAGCUGUUGCAUCAGUUCCCAGUCAGUGCUCCUGGCGACUAUAUUAAUUCCUGCUGCUAGUACAGUAUAGAAUCAGAGACUCAACAUCAGGUUACAUGCAUUUGUACAAUAGUUUCACUGCUUAGCUUCCAACUACCAGCCCACAAACAGCAGCUGCUGCCCAUUCAGCUGAAUAAGUACAAUUAUUUUAGUGUGGACAGCUUUAGAUGCCUUCUAGACAACAUCUAGACUUUUCUCCUUAGUUUGCAGUGCUGUGACCAUGACUAUGAUAAGUUACUGUACCUUAUCUGCUACCUCCUUUAAUUCAUUAAAGAGAACCUCUGACCUGAAACCCUUCUGGAUGCUUUGCCUGGGUCCUUGGAGGGUACCAGAUAUUGAGCGUGGAAAUCCUCACAGAAAAGAACAGGCUGUGUUUGGAUGUUUUGGUUGCCUUUGAAAACCUUACAGAAAUGGGGGAGCCAAAUGGAAGGUAGUUAAAAUAUUUGCUUAGCAAUGAGGUUAUCAUAAACACAGAAAAUUAUGUUUACAUAAACACAGAAAAUUUCCAGUAAAAUUUGUUCUGAGCAAUUUCAUCAGACAGAUCUACCAGGUGGCUGUCAAAUAAUUGAUUUUUUACAUUGGAAGACAAAUAAAAUGUGGAAAUUCAGU
RNAcentral lists this long non-coding RNA (1071 nucleotides) under Cyanistes caeruleus (blue tit). RNAcentral's name for it is "lncRNA (ENSCCEG00000002471.1)". The record is from RNAcentral. Lineage: Eukaryota; Metazoa; Chordata; Aves; Passeriformes; Paridae.